CCUACGGGAGGCAGCAGUGAGGAAUAUUGGUCAAUGGAAGAGAUCCUGAACCAGCCAAGCCGCGUGAGGGAAGACGGCCCUCUGGGUUGUAAACCUCUUUUGUCGGAGAACAAAACCCGGGACGUGUCCCGGACUGCGUGUAUCCGAAGAAAAAGCAUCGGCUAACACCGUGCCAGCAGCCGCGGUAAUACGGUGGGUGCGGGCGUUAUCCGGUUUUAUUGGGUUAAAAGGGUGCGUAGGCGGUCCAUUAAGUCAGCGGUAAAAUUGCGGGGCUCAACCCCGUAGGGCAGUUGAAACUGGCAGACUUGAGUUGGCGAGAGGUACGCGGAAUGCGCGGUGUAGCGGUGAAAUGCAUAGAUAUCGCGAAGAACUCCGAUUGCGAAGGCAGCGUACCGGAGCCAGACUGACGCUGAGGCACGAAAGCGUGGGGAUCGAACAGGACUAGAUACCCUGGUAGUC
RNAcentral lists this ribosomal RNA (459 nucleotides) under uncultured bacterium. Its description in RNAcentral is "partial 16S ribosomal RNA". It matches the Rfam family "Bacterial small subunit ribosomal RNA", at positions 338 to 795 of the family's 1533-position model. The record is from RNAcentral.